GAUCCUGGCUCAGGACGAACGCUGGCGGCGCGCCUAACACAUGCAAGUCGAACGAGAGAGAAGGAGCUUGCUUCUUCGAUCGAGUGGCGAACGGGUGAGUAACGCGUGAGGAACCUGCCUCAAAGAGGGGGACAACAGUUGGAAACGACUGCUAAUACCGCAAUAACGCCCGACGGGGUCGGCAUCGACCUGGAAGGGGAAAAGGAGCAACUCCGUCUUUGAGAUCGGCCUCGCGUCCGAUUAGCUAGUUGG
This 252-nucleotide ribosomal RNA is filed under the name uncultured bacterium. Its description in RNAcentral is "partial 16S ribosomal RNA". It matches the Rfam family "Bacterial small subunit ribosomal RNA", at positions 15 to 252 of the family's 1533-position model. The record is from RNAcentral.